Molecule: ribosomal RNA, 325 nt
Filed under: Gelanor sp. GH1298
Lineage: Eukaryota; Metazoa; Arthropoda; Arachnida; Araneae; Mimetidae
Description: partial 12S ribosomal RNA
Source: RNAcentral
AUUAAAAUAAACUAAGAAGUAUAAAAAUUUUAAAAAAACUAAUAUACACUGGCAGCAUUUAUCUUAUUAGAGGAACAUGUUUCUUAAUCGAAAACACACGCUCUUUUUCACUUAUUUUAAAAUUUUAUAUACCGCCGUAUAGAACUAUUUUCGAAAUUUAUUCUAAAAAUUAUUCUAAAAAAAUAGGUAAAGGUGUAAACAAUAAGUAAGAUGAAAAUGUGUUACAAUAAAUAUAAUUUAAAAAUCCAUUUUUACAAAACUAAAUGUAGGAUUUAAAAGUAAUAUUAAAAAUAAAAAUUUUAUAUGAAUAAGUAAACAAAUGUGC